Molecule: ribosomal RNA, 670 nt
Filed under: uncultured Enterobacteriaceae bacterium
Lineage: Bacteria; Pseudomonadati; Pseudomonadota; Gammaproteobacteria; Enterobacterales; Enterobacteriaceae
Description: SSU rRNA
Rfam family: Bacterial small subunit ribosomal RNA
Source: RNAcentral
GAGCGGUAGCACAGAGAGCUUGCUCUCGGGUGACGAGCGGCGGACGGGUGAGUAAUGUCUGGGAAACUGCCUGAUGGAGGGGGAUAACUACUGGAAACGGUAGCUAAUACCGCAUAAUGUCGCAAGACCAAAGUGGGGGACCUUCGGGCCUCAUGCCAUCAGAUGUGCCCAGAUGGGAUUAGCUAGUAGGUGGGGUAACGGCUCACCUAGGCGACGAUCCCUAGCUGGUCUGAGAGGAUGACCAGCCACACUGGAACUGAGACACGGUCCAGACUCCUACGGGAGGCAGCAGUGGGGAAUAUUGCACAAUGGGCGCAAGCCUGAUGCAGCCAUGCCGCGUGUGUGAAAAAGGCCUUCGGGUUGUAAAGCACUUUCAGCGGGGAGGAAGGCGUUAAGGUUAAUAACCUUGGCGAUUGACGUUACCCGCAGAAGAAGCACCGGCUAACUCCGUGCCAGCAGCCGCGGUAAUACGGAGGGUGCAAGCGUUAAUCGGAAUUACUGGGCGUAAAGCGCACGCAGGCGGUCUGUCAAGUCGGAUGUGAAAUCCCCGGGCUCAACCUGGGAACUGCAUUCGAAACUGGCAGGCUAGAGUCUUGUAGAGGGGGGUAGAAUUCCAGGUGUAGCGGUGAAAUGCGUAGAGAUCUGGAGGAAUACCGGUGGCGAAGACGGC